AUACAUGCUUCCUCUGAGCUAGCUUAAAGUGGGGUUGUCAUUUUAGCAGGAGCCUCAGGAAAACUGGAAUAGUGAAAAAACGGUACGGAUGGCACAUAUAUUUGAGCUUAUUUUCAGAUUUUACAGUGUUACCGGAGUAUGGAACAGUGUAGCAGUUGGGGCUAUCAUUUGCAGGGAAUUUUCUACAGCGAUUUGAAAAUUGGCAAUUUAGUUUUUUUCGUCAUCAGUUUCCGCGACCGGGAGAGCACAAAAUUCAGGUCUUAUAAACAGAAAACUAGAUAUUAGAGAUGUAUUGCAGAUGGUUCGUAACGAUAGACAUACAGUGAUGUUAAUGUUGCAAUAUCUUUAUUUCAGGCGUGUGGUUACAGACUUUUGUGUGAGGUUUUGAAAGUUGGGUAGGCGACUCUAGGCCGAGAAGUUCAGAAAACUGUUUACUGCCUCCUUUACAAAACGUUCGGCCCUGCGAGACGCUCAUAUUUUACACAACGUUCGGUGGUGUUCGCAUUGUAAGGUCCUUUUACUAUCGAACUAGCCGGAAGGCUGUUUGCAAUCUGGUGGACAAAGCAACAAGCAGAUGUCAGAUCCAUACAACGUGUGCCCACUAAUAAGCGUUGUACAUUGGAAGACAGGGACCACGACUUUGAUCGCUCAGAGAGAACUAGGGUCUUGUGCAUGAAAAAGGUAGCUAAAGUGAGCCUAGACAGGAAUGCUGUUAAGUGGGACCCCUUUGUGUUCGAUGGGACAGCAGUGCAAGGCAGAAUGAAAGCAAACUAUGAUCCCUCUGAGCGUUAGAACUGGACUCGAAACUGAUGAUACACAACAUGUUUGCGUGUUACUUGACUGCCUUUCGAUUAAAAAUUCAAGGCUGCUGA
Mercenaria mercenaria is the source of this 872-nucleotide long non-coding RNA. RefSeq lists it as uncharacterized. Lineage: Eukaryota; Metazoa; Mollusca; Bivalvia; Venerida; Veneridae. The record is from RefSeq and is a predicted model, not a curated record. The transcript has 3 exons.